This 83-nucleotide transfer RNA is filed under the name Embleya scabrispora. Its description in RNAcentral is "Streptomyces scabrisporus tRNA". It matches the Rfam family "tRNA". From Rfam's summary of the family: Transfer RNA (tRNA) molecules are approximately 80 nucleotides in length. Their secondary structure includes four short double-helical elements and three loops (D, anti-codon, and T loops). Lineage: Bacteria; Bacillati; Actinomycetota; Actinomycetes; Kitasatosporales; Streptomycetaceae. The record is from Rfam by way of RNAcentral. RNAcentral also lists the same sequence under 10 other names.
GGCGGGUUGCCCGAGUGGCCAAAGGGAGCAGACUGUAAAUCUGCCGGUGUACGCCUACGUUGGUUCGAACCCAACACCCGCCA